GCCUGGGUGGCUCAGUCGGUUAAGCGCCCGACUUUGGCUCAGGUCACAAUCUCGUGGUCUGUGGGUUCGAGCCCCACAUCGGGCU
Molecule: transfer RNA, 85 nt
Filed under: Felis catus (domestic cat)
Lineage: Eukaryota; Metazoa; Chordata; Mammalia; Carnivora; Felidae
Rfam family: tRNA
About the family: Transfer RNA (tRNA) molecules are approximately 80 nucleotides in length. Their secondary structure includes four short double-helical elements and three loops (D, anti-codon, and T loops). Further hydrogen bonds mediate the characteristic L-shaped molecular structure. tRNAs have two regions of fundamental functional importance: the anti-codon, which is responsible for specific mRNA codon recognition, and the 3' end, to which the tRNAs corresponding amino acid is attached (by aminoacyl-tRNA synthetases). tRNAs cope with the degeneracy of the genetic code in two manners: having more than one tRNA (with a specific anti-codon) for a particular amino acid; and 'wobble' base-pairing, i.e. permitting non-standard base-pairing at the 3rd anti-codon position.
Source: Rfam by way of RNAcentral